RNAcentral lists this ribosomal RNA (280 nucleotides) under uncultured Acholeplasma sp. RNAcentral's name for it is "partial 16S ribosomal RNA". It matches the Rfam family "Bacterial small subunit ribosomal RNA", at positions 1103 to 1382 of the family's 1533-position model. The record is from RNAcentral. Lineage: Bacteria; Bacillati; Mycoplasmatota; Mollicutes; Acholeplasmatales; Acholeplasmataceae.
CCCUACUGCUAGUUACCAUCAUUAAGUUGGGGACUCUAGCGAGACUGCCAGUGAUAAACUGGAGGAAGGUGGGGGAUGACGUCAAAUCAUCAUGCCCCUUAUGACCUGGGCUACAAACGUGAUACAAAUGGCUGGAACAAAGGGAUGCGAAGCAGUGAUGUGGAGCGAAACCCAUAAAAACAGUCUCAGUUCGGAUUGAAGUCUGCAACUCGACUUCAUGAAGUCGGAAUCGCUAGUAAUCGCGGAUCAGGACGCCGCGGUGAAUACGUUCUCGGGGUUU